CAAGAGCGUAUGUAAAAGUUGUUGCAGUUAAAAAGCUCGUAGUUGAACCUUGGGUUUGGUUGGCCGGUCCGCUUUUUUGCGAGUACUGGAUUCAACCGAGCCUUUCCUUCUGGCUAACCAGUCGUUUCGGCGGCUGGCGAACCAGGAUUUUUACUUUGAGAAAAUUAGAGUGUUCAAAGCAGGCAUUAGCUUGAAUAUAUUAGCAUGGAAUAAUAGAAUAGGACGUUAUGGUUCUAUUUUGUUGGUUUCUAGGACCAUCGUAAUGAUUAAUAGGGACGGUCGGGGGCAUCAGUAUUCAGUUGUCAGAGGUGAAAUUCUUGGAUUUACUGAAGACUAACUACUGCGAGAGCAUUUGCCAAGGACGUUUUCAUUAA
Molecule: ribosomal RNA, 374 nt
Filed under: uncultured eukaryote
Lineage: Eukaryota
Description: partial 18S ribosomal RNA
Rfam family: Eukaryotic small subunit ribosomal RNA
Source: RNAcentral